AGCUUUGCGCAGUGGCAGUAUCAUAGCCAAUGAGGUCCAACCGAGGCGUGAUUAUUGCUAAUUUUGCUGAAGCUGAAGCUUGAUGAAAGCGGAGGAGCUGUGUUCCCAUUAGGCAAGAGCUGCUGGCUUAUUUUUAGUCGGGGGCUUUGCAC
RNAcentral lists this small nuclear RNA (152 nucleotides) under Xenopus tropicalis (tropical clawed frog). RNAcentral describes it as "U4 spliceosomal RNA (ENSXETG00000043292.1)". The stretch from base 1 to 64 matches the Rfam family "U4 spliceosomal RNA". Lineage: Eukaryota; Metazoa; Chordata; Amphibia; Anura; Pipidae. The record is from RNAcentral.